RNAcentral lists this ribosomal RNA (253 nucleotides) under uncultured bacterium. Its description in RNAcentral is "partial 16S ribosomal RNA". It matches the Rfam family "Bacterial small subunit ribosomal RNA", at positions 524 to 776 of the family's 1533-position model. The record is from RNAcentral.
UACGAAGGGGGCUAGCGUUGCUCGGAAUGACUGGGCGUAAAGAGCGUGUAGGCGGCCAUACAGGUCAGCUGUGAAAACUCGAGGCUCAACCUCGAGACGUCGGUUGAAACCGUAUGGCUAGAGUCCGGAAGAGGAGAGUGGAAUUCCCGGUGUAGCGGUGAAAUGCGCAGAUAUCGGGAAGAACACCCGUGGCGAAGGCGGCUCUCUGGGACGGUACUGACGCUGAGACGCGAAAGCGUGGGGAGCGAACAGG